Molecule: non-coding RNA, 30 nt
Filed under: Mus musculus (house mouse)
Lineage: Eukaryota; Metazoa; Chordata; Mammalia; Rodentia; Muridae
Source: RNAcentral
UGUACACGUAUGACAUGUCAAUCACCUGUC